This is a small nucleolar RNA of Gossypium raimondii (Peruvian cotton), 107 nucleotides long. It matches the Rfam family "Plant small nucleolar RNA R71". From Rfam's summary of the family: R71 is a member of the C/D box family of snoRNAs containing the C (UGAUGA) and D (CUGA) box motifs. Multiple nearly identical copies of this snoRNA have been identified in Arabidopsis, and it is thought to function as a 2'-O-ribose methylation guide for 18S ribosomal RNA. NCBI's taxonomy places the organism in Eukaryota, Viridiplantae, Streptophyta, Magnoliopsida, Malvales, Malvaceae. The record is from Rfam.
AUCCCAUGAUGAGGACACUUACGAAGUAACUCCUUAAAUCGCUCCUAAGCCCCAUAUAAAGACUCGCCAUUCAAUUGUUGGAAAGUUAUGAUCUUGUUCCUUAACUU